Molecule: ribosomal RNA, 253 nt
Filed under: uncultured bacterium
Lineage: Bacteria
Description: partial 16S ribosomal RNA
Rfam family: Bacterial small subunit ribosomal RNA
Source: RNAcentral
UACGAAGGGGGCUAGCGUUGCUCGGAAUCACUGGGCGUAAAGCGUGCGCAGGCGGUUUUGUAAGCCAGAUGUGAAAUCCCCGGGCUUAACCUGGGAAUGGCAUUUGGGACUGCAAGGCUGGAGUGCGGCAGAGGAGACUGGAAUUCCUGGUGUAGCAGUGAAAUGCGUAGAUAUCAGGAGGAAUACCGAUGGCGAAGGCAGGUCUCUGGGCUGACACUGACGCUCAUGCACGAAAGCGUGGGGAGCAAACAGG